GGUUUUAUAGAAACAUACCUAGGACACACAACAAAUAUUUGGUUAUAAAGGAUCCUUUUAAUAACUAGCAAAACUAAACACAUAAAUUUGGCUUAUAAUCUCAGACAAAGGCAUCAUACCAUUUUGAUCAGAAUUUUUUUUGCGAUUUCAUUUAUAAAUCCAAAUCAAUAGCUUUUUGUCAGGGUACUGAAAAUAGAGACUUUCCUGUGAUCCCCACAGUCAUUUUAAUUCUACAUUUAGGAAUAUAACCAACAUUGAUGAAUUUUCAUUGAGAAAUUAUUUUCUGGAGCAAGCAAUUUGAUCAAAAAAAUUAGCUUAAUUUUUUAUAUAUGUAAUUUAUUUCCAGUUUUUUUCAAAUUACUAAAUAUUGUUUUAAUCGGCUUAACUAAAUUAAUUGAUUCAAUCAUUAAAAAAAAUUUUUUUUAGAGGAGCCCGGGUGACUCAGUUGGUUAAGUGUCUGUGACUUCAGCUCUGGUCAUGAUCUCAGUUGUGAGUUUGGGCCCCGCGUCGGGCUUUGUGCUGACAGCUCAGAGCCUGAAACCUGCUUCGGAUUCUGUGUCUCUUCUCUUUCUCUCUACAUCUUCCCCGCUCACAUUCUGUCUCUCUCAAACAUUAAAAAAAAUUUUUUUUAAUUUUUUUUAUUUUAGAGAUUGAGGGGGCAGUGAGAGAGGGAGAGAGAGAGUCUUAAGCAGUCUCCAUGUUCAGCACAGAGGCCGCCAUGAGGCUUGAUCCCGCAAUCCUGGGAUCAUGACCCUAGCCAAAAACAAAAGUCAGAUGCUCAAGUGACUAAGCCACCCAGGUGCCCCCAAUUCAAUCAUUUUAAUGAACAUUUUAUGCAUUUACAGCUUUCCUCCUAAAUCUAAUUCUACCCAUUAUUAGCACUGAUAUUACAAAUGUUUUCUUUUGUGACUUAUUUCUGUCAAAAGUAUUUUCUGAGGUACAAUUUUGCAUAUAAAAAAUGUCAAUAUUUAAUCAUCAAUUUUUACUCAAUAACUAUCCAUUAUUAAAGAGCAAAGCACAGGAUCAAAAGGCUAUAUACAAUCUGGAAUCAAAAUGACAAAACUCUAUUUCCUGGGAUACUUGAUAGAACCAGUACACAUAGUUCAAGAAAAAUAUACCUGAAUUUUUCAGACUUGCUAUAAAUUGGCUUUAAUAAUGUCAACAUAACAUGCCCACAUAGACAGAGCUAUAUUACUCCUUUAUCUACUAUCAAGGAUAUUUUUAUGUCUUUGAGUCCUCUCACCAUUUGUUUAUGAGAUGUGAAGAAAAGCCUAACUUAAAUUACUUCCACACAUUAGUGGAAGUUUCUCUGUCAUUUUAUAGCAUAAAAAGAGCCUUUAGGACAUCCUUAGCCUCCUUUAAUUAUGAUUAAAAUUGAGUGGUUACUGUAGCUCACAUUUAGAAAUCAAUUCUAGGCAAAGAAAAUAAUAAAACGUAAGAUUUAUAAAAGCACAAAAUACAGAUCAGAAAAUGUUUAUUAUGUUUGAUACACCAGAUUUUUAACAUUGGGAAAUCAUUCCAUCUACUCCAAAGACCCAGGUUUUCAUUAUGUAGCCUAGAAACAUUUGUCAAAGAGAAGAAAAGUUACAGCACAUCUCAAAAAACUAAGACACAAAUAGUAUAUAGUAAGUGAUAACAAACACUUGGAAGAAAUCACUGAGCCACAGUACUUGAUUCCCUACGAGGUCAAAUUAAGAAAUGAAAGAUUAUAAAGCGGAAGAAAAGGAUAGAAGAACCCACUGAGAAAUAGAAAAUCAAAACUUAUUUUAAAAACUUAAAAGGCAGCUAUAUUUUCCCAUUUGAUCCAGUUUAAAAAGGAAAGGUCAGAUAGAAUAAAGGCUACCAAAGAGACUUUAGAAUCCUGUGACCAUAACUUGAGCCGAAUAAUAAUGUGGUAUCAUAUGAAUGGCCUUCUGCAAGAUGCAAGCCAAGUAUUUCUCAUACUAUGAACUUGAGAGAUAAUAACUGAGCAAUCUGCUAGGUUAAUAAGAUCGCAGAGUAGUAAAUCAUAGUAGUGGAACAUCCUAAACAGCCCCAUGGUACAGCAGACUCUUAGGAGCCGUCCAGGCUUACUCCUCCACUUUCCACCUUCAAAAAACAUCUGAAUGAACAGCUCAGAACAGGAAGUGAACAAGAAAUAAAAAUGAUUGCUAGCCAGGCAGUUAUACACCUAAGGUGGGCCUUUCAGGGCCAGAGUUUUCAUCCAAUCCCCUGAAAUCCCAAUAAUGCCCCCUUACUAGGUUACCCAUCCCUACUUUGAAACUGGCAUGACAGAAAAAAAAUCACAAACACUUACUGGGUGGAAAAAAAUUCUGAACUUCAGGCAACUGAACAAAAAUACUGUUUGGUGAUGAAAAUUUUAAUUAUUAAAAUAGCUUCUGGUUUUGGAAUUCUCUAUUUGGGAAGUUUAAAUAUAAUGCCAUUCUUAUAUUAAGAUGAAAAAUUUUUGUACCGUUUCUGAACACAAACAACAAAGGUAAAGUCACUUGGCACUGUACAUACAAGAAUAUUCCAACUUUAGUUUUUAGUCUUGUUUUAAUUUUAAAAUGCAUAGGUUUUAAAGUGUUCAGUUUACUUUGCAUAUUUCUUCUUAAAAUUACACCAUUUUACCUUAGGCUUCUAACAUUUUUUUAAUUUAUUUUUUUAUUUUUAAAAAAAUUUUUUUAAGGUUUAUUUAUUCUUGAGAGAGAGACAGAGUGCAAGCAGGGGAGAGGCAGAGAGAGAAGGAGACACAGAAUCCCGAGAAGGCUCCAGGCACCAAGCUGUCAGCACAGAGCCCGAUGUAGGGCUUGAACUCACAAACCGUGAGUUCGAAACAAAUAAAACAAAUAAACAUUAAACAAAUAAACAUUAAAAAAGAUUUUUUUUAAGUUGUUAAUUAUUAGAUCAAAUUUAGAAAACAAAAAGCUGGUAGUUUUCCCUUCUAUCCAUGUUGGUGCUCCACCAGCGAAAAGAGAGUUGGACACAGAGACACCUUAAAAUGCUUCGAGCUAAAGAUAGGGUCUUAUGUUCUCCUCAUAAUCAGCCUAUUAAUCUAAUUGGCCCUCUUUUCCCAAAACGACAUUUCAGUCUUUCUAGGAGGGCAGGAAAUUAUUAAGUGUAAAAAGUUAAGAGUUGUCGUAUUGCCCAGUGUUCUCCAGUUAGUAAGUAGGACCACGGGGUGUACUGUGGGAGAGGCAAACAUUGAUAGUUCCCAAUGGCUACUGCUGAAGAAAAUAUCCCAAAUUAUGUCUACCUUUUCUCCCCACAAAAAAAAAAAAAAAAAAAAAAGCUUAAAUAGUUAUCAGUAAAGAACAUAUACAGACUACUUUUUUUCCUCCUGAAAAUUAAAGCCAGCUUUCACAGUUAGUAAAAUAAUGGUGGGACAGCAUUAAGACAUUUUUAAGGAGAAAAAAAAUGUGUCCCUGACAGCAGAGUGGAAAUCAGCCUUAGUGCCCAGCCAAGAACAACAAGGAGAGAAAGUGAAUAAUUGACUCAGAAGCAACUAUCCUUAACAUACUGACAGCCUAUCCCAAUAUUUUGAGUUGUCUAAGAGUGCCAAAGAUGUAAUAGGAUACCAAAUUUGCUCUGGGAUAUAUCUGCCUUAAUGGUGUUUAAAAAUAAAGUGGGGUGGAGGAAAAUCAGUAGUCAGAUCAUAAGGACUGAAAGAACAAAUAUACAUAGACUGUAAGGAAAUCAGGAGAAACUGAAACUUUACCAUAUGCCAGCCACUAAAAGAAUCUCUUGGGGGGAAAAAAGGCCUUCUCGGUCCUAAGCCAAAUUAAUGAUCAUUAGCAAUGGAACAUAAUGUAUAAAAUUAUUUCCUCUUAGAACUUAAAUGACCAUAGUCCCAGUUUUCCCUGGACAGUCUUGGUUUAUUCCUUUUGUCCCACAUUGUAACAAUGCCUCCUUUCACUCUGAAAAGUAGCCCGGUUUGGACAAUUAUCUGAUCACUCUACCCAACUCUACCAGUUACCCCAAAACAUUUGAGUAAUCAUUUUUUCUAAAAAAAGUUUCAGGCGUGAGAAACUUUCAGUUUGAGGGGGAAAGGAACUAGUAUAGAAGAGAGAUGCUUCAAAAUACAAAAUACCUGACUCCAGUUUGGUUAUCAGUAGUGCUCUCAGAGCCACACUGGAAAACCAGGUCGUGGUAAGAAGGUCUUUGUGGAGGCAGUGGAAGUAAAGUCAUCUGAGGAGGGAAAGAGUUACUACUCCAGGUCAUUGCUGAAGGUUGCUCUAUAAACACUGUAAUCCUCCCAGUUAGCAUCUCAAUUGUUUUGCUGCAAGAGCCAAAUACCCUGAAAAAAGCUUGAGUGUUUCGGCUUAGGAAAUGCACCUCCAAAAAAGCAGGUCUUGGCUGUAGCAAGUGUUCUUGGUUUAAGAGAUCAAUCAGAGGAUCCAGUUCAUAGAAAAGAGCCUCUCUCUGAAGCCUAUGAUAGUCUGAAAAGUCAGUGGGUAAUAAAAGCUGGUGAGUUCUCAAAAAAUCUAAGAUGAAACUAAAUAAAACACCAUCUCUGUCCACAAAAAUCUGGCCACCAACCAUCUUGAAUUCUUGGUCUCUGCCAUCUAUCAUUCUUGUCAACCGAGAGGCAGGAAACUGCUUUAUGGUAGAAAAUCUUGUUGUGAAUAUCUUCCCUCCCACAUUCAAAGUGACUAGUUCCUGACUACUCAUUCUUUUCUUGCUUCAAACUAGAGGCUACAAACCAUCAGCCACAGACUUAGAAACUUGUAAAUCAACUUCUAACCAUAAGUGUUGCUAGUUAUAUAUGAUCAAGAAAUGGAGGGGAGGGGAAAAUAACAAAAAAACAGAGACCUAGAUUCCCAGGUAACUACUGUAAAGCAAAUAUUGUAUCCAUAGCUGUGUUUGCAAAUUUGAGUUGCUUGGGAACUUGCAGUAUACAAAAUGAAAACGCAGCAGUUGAGGUACUGAAUUGUUUAAGAAAAACUGCCUUGGGGAGUGUGGUUGGCUCAGUUAAGUGUCCAACUUUGGCUCAGGUCACAAUCUCACAGUUCAUGAGUUCAAACCCCACAUCGGGCUCUGUGCUGACAGCUUGGAGCCUGGAGCCUGCUUCGGAUUCUGUGUCUCCUUCUCUCUCUGCCCCUCCCCCCACUUGCACUCUGUCUCUGUCUCUCAAAAAUAAACAUUAAAAAAAAUUUUUUUAAACUGCCAAUAUUUCCAAGGUUAGAUGUUAAAUGGAUCCUGUUCCUGUAUUGCAUAAAAAAUUCUCCAUGAAAACCUGUUGUAAAUCUCUAUUUAAACACACACACACACACACACACAUAUACACAUACAUACAUACACACAUAUAUACACUGGGAGCAGAAAAGCAACCCCUGCCGGGUUCCCCGGACCACUUAUCUAUGAUGAGUCCUCAUAGCAGAGGUAAGAUUUACAGUGAAACAUUUUUAUAAUUUAUGAACCCUUUAGCAAUUUUGGCUAAAUCAUGCAUUGUCAGUUAUGGUUGAGGCAGCCAUUACCUCAACCAGCAGCUUAAUUUGACUCUUUUCCUCAUAGCUGGAUUCUUCUGUACUUUCAAGUUAGUUGGCCCUUUUUUUUUUUUCUUGUCCCCACUUGUGUUACCUUCUCUCAACCAAAUUAAAAGACAGGGUAGGGGUGCCUCGGUGGCUCAGUCAAUUAAGCAUCCAACUCUUUAUUUCGGUUCAGAUCAUGAUCUCAUGGUUCAUAGGAUGGAACCUCAUGUUGGGCUGACAACACAGAGCCUGCUUGGGAUUCCCUCUCCCCCUCUCUCUUUACCCCUCCCCUGCAUGCACACUCUUUCUCUCUCAAAAUAAAUAAACUUAAAAAAAUAAAAGGGUAAAGACACUCUGCUUUCCAAAGAAUGUUGUUUCAUGACAGAAAUAAGGUAGACUCGAGAGCAGUUCUAAGAUGAGUUCUAAGAUGAGCAGUUCUUGUCUUCAUCUGAAUUGUAAGCAAGAGGAGAAAAUUAAGUAUUUUUAUUCUGUGGGAGAUGAUAGGGCAUCUUUAUCUCAUGUAAGCAGAUAGGGCAAAAUUAGUGUUUAGCUGAUUACUUUGCACUUUAUAAUAACUGACAGAAUCCUCCAUCUAUUGGCAAAUUAAUCUUACUACUCUUCAAAAAGAUACUAAGCAAGUGGAUUGGUUUAGUUGUCCUGUUGCCAUGAUACUUGGGAACAACAACACAACACUUGGCUGCCAGUAAAAAGGCUUUCCCAUUUCCUGUUCUUGCCAUGUGUUAGACUUUUUUUUGUACCUACCACAGCCACCUAACACUUCUGUAGUUUAUCACCAAAGGAAUUUACAAAACCUAAGGAGAACAAGGCAAGCUGAAAUCAUCACCCUCCUAAAAACGUAAACUGAUCCCAAGAAAAUGCCACCUUUUGUUUACCUGAGAUUUACAUUUUAGCAAAAAACUAAAAUUUAGAAAUCCAAAUCUAGAAAAAUUUGGAAAUCCAAUCCACUCAUAUCUUUUCCUUUUUUAAAAGAAUGUUCAGUCUCAAAAAGAGUUGCUUUACACGAGUAGUCUUUAUUACAUGCUUAAAUGAACAAUCACUGUUAUACUACCUCAUUAAUACAACAUUAGAUCAUGCACUUUCACCUCCCCUUUUUCCACAGCAUCAACACAACUGAUAUUGGAGGUAGGAGGUGUAUUUCAAAAGCACUCUUUAAAAAGGAAGGAGGGUUCAGGACUGUACUAUUAAAUUUCACAUUUACCUUUAUGCUAACUCAUUUGAACAACAUAUAUAGGACAUUAUUUUUGAAAGGAAUACUUUGGGCAGGGAAAUACUUCAUUAAAAUCUUGACCAAAUCUGAACUACCACUCAGCUCUUUAACAAAUUUCUAACAAAAGACAGAGAACUAAAUAGUUGCAACAGAUUUUAUAAUAGUUUAUAUUUGCACACAAAUUCUGCCACAUUGUUCAGCACCACCAAAGUAAAAUUCUUAAAUCUUUCACUGAAAAUGAAAAAUCCAUCUGUCACCUGUUCCCAAUAAAACACUGAUUGUUCUACAAAAUCAGCUGAUUUAGCCAGAUAGGAAUUGAAGUUGGAGAGGCAGUCUUUCCAAGUUGUGAAUUCAUCAAAUAAAGACCCUUCUAGGAAUAUGGUGGGACCAAAGAAAAUGAGAAGGCUGAGCAGAAUGACUACCACAAAUAACUGAGAAAAGCUCCAGGGAAUCUUACUAACGAACGUGCCAGCAUCUUGAGGCAAAGAAAGUUUAUCCACAUCUACUAGUUUUAUGUCUUCCCACUGACUGGUAUCAAAGUUCUUCAUUAAAGGGCUUGUGGGCAAAUUCGAGGGAGGUAAAGGAGUUUCCUUGAUUACUUUUAUUUUCUCCCUGAACUCCUGCAUCUGUUGCAGAAAUAUGAUGGGUUCUGACACGUCUUUGAAAGCCUCAGCAAUGUUAAAGGCCAUUCGUUGUUCCUGCAAGAUGGUGUUGAGUUUGUUGAUCUCUGGGUCAUAGGCUUGCAUAACUGCCAGUUUCAUGGUCUCAAAGUCAGACAGGAUUUCAUUCUUCUUUUGAUCUAAUGUAUGUUGUAACUUCUCAAAAAACUCCUUCACUUUAUCUGAAUCUUUAGUCAGUAACUGUAGAGAUUUCCUUUUGCUAGUUUCCAAGGUAUCCAAGCGAGAAAGAGCAUCUCCCCGACGCCAGGUCUCAAAGCUCUGGAAGAGGGACUCAAAGGCAUCUCUUUCCUGAGCAUAGGCAUCUUCAAUAGAACAGAAGACAUGCUUGGUGUGGUCACCACGAGUAGCACAGAUCCCGCAAAUCAGUUGCAUAUCAGUCAGGCAGAAAAUGUUGAGGGGUUGCCCCAAGUGUCCUUUGCACACAGGCAUUUUGGGAGAGAUCUUGAUCUUGUUAUACUUUUCCACAAUACCCUUCAGGGAGUAAUUGACCUGCAGGCUAUUGACUCCAGUAGCUGAAGUUUCCUUACGGCAUGUAGGGCACUUGAAUGGAGAUGAUCUCCACAACGAAUUCCGCACGGUCCCCUCUAAGAUCCCUUCUAAGCAUUUUUUGCAAAAGUUAUGCGAGCAAGGCAAAACUCGAGGAUCAUCAAACAGACUGCAACAAAUUGGGCACGUGAGAUCUUCUUCAAGCAGCUCCAUCACAUCCUACCAUAAAGAAAGAAACAUUUUACUCCAGUAAUCCCCUCCAUUCAGACUAUCUACUAAUCAGAAAUUAUCUUUACAGGCAUUAAAAAUGAUCUCUCACUGAAAUAACCAGGCAAACAAAGGAAAUAAGUGAGAAAUUUGGGAAGGGAAUGCACACCAAAGCAGAUUUAAUCUGCUGGGACUAGAACACACUCCUUAUUAGCAGGGCUCCCUGUACACAAGGCCUUUGUGUGGGCUUUCCAACAACAGUCUUUGGCUGAGAUAGGGUUAGGUCUAGGACAACUGCAAGUUGAGCCAGCAGGACCCAACUGAUUGUUUUAAAACAGAGAGCUGACUACUAGCUGUCAGAAACAAAGCUACUCAGUGUCUGAAUAGAAUGAGCUCUUUAGUCUGGGCCCACAAUUAUAAAAUGGUAUGCUAUUCAAAAGAAAGAAGCACAGAAAUACAAAUUCAAGCAUGCACUCUCGUGCAGGCUUUUAUUAAAAACUAGCAUAUUUUUCUAUUUCAAAUGCAAGAUUACAAUUAUUAAAAUCCUAAGUAAAAGCAUAAGGCAAGAGUUGCAAUUAAUUCUUCAGAAAAUUAAAUGAGUUUUUUUUAAAACCACCAGAACCAUCUAGAGCAUCAAUUCUCAAAAUGUAGACAGAAAUCUGAUGUCCCUAAGACUCCUUCAAGUCAUUCAUGAAGGUCAAUACUUUAUUCACAAUAAUAUUGAGAACAUAUUUGCUUUGGGCACCAUGUUGACAAAUGCACCGUAAAAGCAAUGGUGAGGAGACACUGCUAAAGCCUCAGCAGGAAUCAAACAAGGCAAAAGGUACAAGUUACUGAAUCCUUCAUUACCACACACCCACAGUCUAAGUGGGGGUAGCCAAUUUCAUUUAAGAAUGUUCUUUAUGAAGCAGCAACAAUUAUUCAUUUUAUUAAAUCUUGAUCCUUGUGUAUGUGCUUCUUUAAUAUUUUGGGUGACAAAAUAGGAAGUAAAGAAUUUCUGCUGCAUCCAACAGAUACUGUCUGGAGAAAAAGCAGUUAGUUACAUGAUUGAGUCACAAUCUGAACCAGCUGCUUUUUUUGUGGAACACCAUUUUUACUUGAAAGAAUGAAUGGCAAACUGGCUAUUUAGACUUAGGUAAAAGCAGACAUUUUCUUGAAAAUGAACAAAAUAAGCCCUUCAAGAAAAAUAAAUGAUAGUAUUUCUUGCCAAUGAUAAAAAUUAAGUUUUUGAGUGAACAUUAGAAUUUUGGAAAACAUUUUUGCCACUUAAGAGCUUGACAGCUUCCCAUUAAUUAAAGACUUUGUAAUGAAAUGGUGAUUUUAAUGAAUGUUGGCUUUUAUCUUUUUUAGUGGGGAGAUUAUUGUAUAAUGAAAUAUGUUAUUUGGAGAUCUGCAUAAUACAAUAAACUAAUUUGUUCAAAUGACUAAUGCAUGUUAUAAAUCGUGCUUGGAUAAAAGAUCAAAAGACCAAUACGUUGAAAAAUAUGAUUUCAGAUUCCAUAUUGCAACAUUUAAGAAACUACCAGUUGUUGAGUUUAACAAAGUAUCAAAGAAGAUCCGUAAUUAUCAGAAAAGGCUAUUAAAAUAUUCUUCCCUUCACCAACUACGUAUCUGUGCAAGGUCAGAUUAUGAUCUUUGUAUAUUUCAAAAAAAAAAAGAAAAAACCCAUAACUUAUUCUAACAGGUGUAAUGAAGGGACAGAUAAAAGACUUUAUUUGUAAUCUAUUAAACAGCAAUUCAUUCAAGGGAUCUAUAAAUAUGUAGGGGCGCCUGGGUGGCUCAGUCGGUUGAGCAUCCGACUUCAGCUCAGGUCAUGAUCUCACGGUUCCUGGGUUCGAGCCCCGCCUCGGGCUCUGUGCUGACAGCUCAGAGCCCGGAGCCUGUUUCAGAUUCUGCGUCUCCCUCUCUCUCUGCCCCUCCCCAGCUCAUGUUCUCUCUCUUUCAAAAAUAAAUAAACACUAAAAACAAUUUUUUUAAUUAAAAAAAGAUCUAUAAAUAUGUAAAGCAAUGCCAAUUUUCUCACAACUUAUUUAGAAAAUGUUAUUUUUCACAAAUUAUGUUAAUAUAUAACAGGUUUAUGAUUGUUAUUUUAAAUGAGUAUCUUAAAAUUUUUGUUUUAAUUUCCAAUACAAUAAAUGGCUAUAUAAAGUACAUAUGUAAACAAAAGCUCCUGGGAUCCUCAGUUUUUAAGACUGUAAAGUGGGGUCCUGAAAAUAAAAAAUUUCGAGAUCCCUGGUCUAGAGAAUACCAUUUCUCAGUUCAAGUUUUAUUAUUUUAAAAUGGACAUCUUAAAACUUCUAUCCCUAAAGUUUUAAAACCAAAUACAGUGCUAAAUAUGUCCUCGUUCAGCUUACUGAGGAACACAUAUAUAUGUCACAUUACCACCAAACUAAUAAACAGAAUAGGGCCUAAUAAUAAUCCUUAUAAUAAAUAAUUAAAUAAUUUUUAACAGUAAUUUUAAGAGUCACAAUCAGAGGGACGCCUGGGUGAUUCAGUCGGUUAAGCAUCUGACUCAUGGUUUUGGUGUGGUUCUGUAGUUCAAGCCCCGCAUCAGGCUCCAUGCUGACCAUGAAGAGCCUACUUGGGAUUCUCUCUCUCUGUCUCUCUCUCUCUGCCCCUCUCGUGAGCUCUCACACUCUCUC
This is a long non-coding RNA of Acinonyx jubatus (cheetah), 10693 nucleotides long. RefSeq lists it as uncharacterized. The record is from RefSeq and is a predicted model, not a curated record. The transcript has 2 exons. NCBI's taxonomy places the organism in Eukaryota, Metazoa, Chordata, Mammalia, Carnivora, Felidae.